GCAGUCUGCAACUCGAGUGCAUGAAGCUGGAAUCGCUAGUAAUCGCGAAUCAGAAUGUCGCGGUGAAUACGUUCCCGGGUCUUGUACACACCGCCCGUCACACCAUGGGAGCCGACAACGCCCGAAGUCAGUGACCUAACCAAGAGGGAGGAGCUGCCGAAGGCGGGGUUGGUAACUGGGGUGAAGUCGUAACAAGGUAGC
RNAcentral lists this ribosomal RNA (201 nucleotides) under uncultured bacterium. RNAcentral's name for it is "partial 16S ribosomal RNA". It matches the Rfam family "Bacterial small subunit ribosomal RNA", at positions 1300 to 1500 of the family's 1533-position model. The record is from RNAcentral.